UGGGGAAUAUUGGACAAUGGGCGAAAGCCUGAUCCAGCCAUGCCGCGUGUGUGAAGAAGGUCAUCGGAUUGUAAAGCACUUUAAGUUGGGAGGAAGGGCAUUAACCUAAUACGUUAGUGUUUUGACGUUACCGACAGAAUAAGCACCGGCUAACUCUGUGCCAGCAGCCGCGGUAAUACAGAGGGUGCAAGCGUUAAUCGGAAUUACUGGGCGUAAAGCGCGCGUAGGUGGUUUGUUAAGUUGGAUGUGAAAUCCCCGGGCUCAACCUGGGAACUGCAUUCAAAACUGACUGACUAGAGUAUGGUAGAGGGUGGUGGAAUUUCCUGUGUAGCGGUGAAAUGCGUAGAUAUAGGAAGGAACACCAGUGGCGAAGGCGACCACCUGGACUAAUACUGACACUGAGGUGCGAAAGCGUGGGGAGCAAACA
This 427-nucleotide ribosomal RNA is filed under the name uncultured bacterium. RNAcentral describes it as "partial 16S ribosomal RNA". It matches the Rfam family "Bacterial small subunit ribosomal RNA", at positions 355 to 774 of the family's 1533-position model. The record is from RNAcentral.